This 70-nucleotide transfer RNA is filed under the name Tryonicus parvus. RNAcentral describes it as "tRNA-Leu". The record is from RNAcentral. Lineage: Eukaryota; Metazoa; Arthropoda; Insecta; Blattodea; Tryonicidae.
UCUAAUAUGGCAGAAAAGUGCAGUAGGUUUAAGCCCCACAAAUGAAGUAUUAUUAUUAUUUCUAUUAGAA